This is a long non-coding RNA of Thalassophryne amazonica, 390 nucleotides long. RefSeq lists it as uncharacterized. Lineage: Eukaryota; Metazoa; Chordata; Actinopteri; Batrachoidiformes; Batrachoididae. The transcript is spliced from 2 exons. The record is from RefSeq and is a predicted model, not a curated record.
AAAAAGUUGUAUAAUAUGACCGCUUUAAACAAACAAAAAUAAUGCUAGAUAAUUACAUUUUGCAAUCAGUAGCUAAAGCUUCCUUUAAGCUUAGUGAGAUAAUGCAUCAACAGUCCAGAGCCCAGAUGUAUAAAUGGCGUGUGUGUGUGUGUGUGUGUGUCUUGCAGUGUGCACAACUAUUCCUGUAAAGACUGCAUGAAAUUACAUAAGGCAGGAGUUGUUGUGUGCUUAGUGAAAUAAAUAUUUUAAUUUGUUGUGCUUCUCCUUGUCUGGUCAUUUCCACACGCCGCGAUACAAAUGAUAAUUUUUGAUAUUUUUUGAAAAAGACUGAAACACAGUAUCACCUAUAAAUUGGCCCCAAAGUGCAAAAAUAUCACAAAAUUAAUAUAU